RNAcentral lists this ribosomal RNA (622 nucleotides) under Salmonella enterica subsp. enterica serovar Worthington. RNAcentral's name for it is "partial 23S ribosomal RNA". It matches the Rfam family "Bacterial large subunit ribosomal RNA", at positions 2181 to 2802 of the family's 2925-position model. Lineage: Bacteria; Pseudomonadati; Pseudomonadota; Gammaproteobacteria; Enterobacterales; Enterobacteriaceae. The record is from RNAcentral.
UGGAGCCAACCUUGAAAUACCACCCUUUAAUGUUUGAUGUUCUAACGUGGACCCGUAAUCCGGGUUGCGGACAGUGUCUGGUGGGUAGUUUGACUGGGGCGGUCUCCUCCUAAAGAGUAACGGAGGAGCACGAAGGUUGGCUAAUCCUGGUCGGACAUCAGGAGGUUAGUGCAAUGGCAUAAGCCAGCUUGACUGCGAGCGUGACGGCGCGAGCAGGUGCGAAAGCAGGUCAUAGUGAUCCGGUGGUUCUGAAUGGAAGGGCCAUCGCUCAACGGAUAAAAGGUACUCCGGGGAUAACAGGCUGAUACCGCCCAAGAGUUCAUAUCGACGGCGGUGUUUGGCACCUCGAUGUCGGCUCAUCACAUCCUGGGGCUGAAGUAGGUCCCAAGGGUAUGGCUGUUCGCCAUUUAAAGUGGUACGCGAGCUGGGUUUAGAACGUCGUGAGACAGUUCGGUCCCUAUCUGCCGUGGGCGCUGGAGAACUGAGGGGGGCUGCUCCUAGUACGAGAGGACCGGAGUGGACGCAUCACUGGUGUUCGGGUUGUCAUGCCAAUGGCACUGCCCGGUAGCUAAAUGCGGAAGAGAUAAGUGCUGAAAGCAUCUAAGCACGAAACUUGCCCCGA